CCUACGGGUGGCAGCAGUGAGGAAUAUUGGUCAAUGGCCGCAAGGCUGAACCAGCCAAGUCGCGUGAAGGAUGAAUGCCCUAUGGGUUGUAAACUUCUUUUAUAGAGGAAUAAAGUUAUCCACGUGUGGCUAUUUGCAUGUACUCUAUGAAUAAGCAUCGGCUAACUCCGUGCCAGCAGCCGCGGUAAUACGGAGGAUGCGAGCGUUAUCCGGAUUUAUUGGGUUUAAAGGGUGCGUAGGUGGGUUUUUAAGUCAGCGGUGAAAGUUUGUGGCUCAACCAUAAAAUUGCAGUUGAAACUGGAAGACUUGAGUGUAGUUGAGGUAGGCGGAAUGCGUGGUGUAGCGGUGAAAUGCAUAGAUAUCACGCAGAACUCCGAUUGCGAAGGCAGCUUACUAAGC
RNAcentral lists this ribosomal RNA (399 nucleotides) under uncultured bacterium. RNAcentral describes it as "partial 16S ribosomal RNA". It matches the Rfam family "Bacterial small subunit ribosomal RNA", at positions 338 to 734 of the family's 1533-position model. The record is from RNAcentral.